AACGAACGCUGGCGGCAGGCCUAACACAUGCAAGUCGAACGCCGUAGCAAUACGGAGUGGCAGACGGGUGAGUAACGCGUGGGAACAUACCCCUCGGUUCGGAAUAACUCAGGGAAACUUGAGCUAAUACCGGAUAAGUCCGAGGUUUUAAUCGACCUUGGAGAAAGAUUUAUCGCCGGAGGAUUGGCCCGCGUCUGAUUAGCUUGUUGGUGAGGUAAUGGCUCACCAAGGCGACGANCAGUAGCUGGUCUGAGAGGAUGAUCAGCCACAUUGGGACUGAGACACGGCCCAAACUCCUACGGGAGGCAGCAGUGGGGAAUAUUGGACAAUGGGCGCAAGCCUGACCCAGCAACGCCGCGUGAAGGAUGAAAUCCCUCGGGA
This 381-nucleotide ribosomal RNA is filed under the name uncultured bacterium. RNAcentral describes it as "bacterial SSU rRNA". It matches the Rfam family "Bacterial small subunit ribosomal RNA", at positions 29 to 423 of the family's 1533-position model. The record is from RNAcentral.